CAGCCGCCGCGGUAAUACGGAGGGUGCAAGCGUUAAUCGGAAUUACUGGGCGUAAAGCGCACGCAGGCGGUCUGACAAGUCAGAUGUGAAAUCCCCGGGCUUAACCUGGGAACUGCAUUUGAAACUGUCAGGCUGGAGUCUUGUAGAGGGGGGUAGAAUUCCAGGUGUAGCGGUGAAAUGCGUAGAGAUCUGGAGGAAUACCGAUGGCGAAGGCAGCCAUCUGGCCUAAUACUGACGCUGAGGUACGAAAGCAUGGGGAGCAAACAGGAUUAGAUACCCCUGUAGUCCCUGUCUCUUAUAC
Molecule: ribosomal RNA, 301 nt
Filed under: uncultured bacterium
Lineage: Bacteria
Description: partial 16S ribosomal RNA
Rfam family: Bacterial small subunit ribosomal RNA
Source: RNAcentral